GAUGAACGCUGGCGGCGUGCCUAAUACAUGCAAGUCGAGCGAACAGACGAGGAACUUGCUUCUCUGAUGUUAGCGGCGGACGGGUGAGUAACACGUGGAUAACCUACCUAUAAGACUGGGAUAACUUCGGGAAACCGGAGCUAAUACCGGAUGAUCUUUUGAACCGCAUGGUUCAAAAGUGAAAGACGGUCUUGCUGUCACUUAUAGAUGGAUCCGCGCUGCAUUAGCUAGUUGGUAAGGUAACGGCUUACCAAGGCAACGAUGCAUAGCCGACCUGAGAGGGUGAUCGGCCACACGGGAACGGAGACACGGUCCAGACUCCUACGGGAGGCAGCAGUAGGGAAUCUUCCGCAAUGGGCGAAAGCCUGACGGAGCAACGCCGCGUGAGUGAUGAAGGUCUUCGGAUCGUAAAACUCUGUUAUUAGGGAAGAACAUAUGUGUAAGUAACUGUGCACGGCUUGACGGUACCUAAUCAGAAAGCCACGGCUAACUACGUG
RNAcentral lists this ribosomal RNA (497 nucleotides) under uncultured bacterium. RNAcentral describes it as "partial 16S ribosomal RNA". It matches the Rfam family "Bacterial small subunit ribosomal RNA", at positions 28 to 507 of the family's 1533-position model. The record is from RNAcentral.